AGUGAACGCUGGCGGUAGGCCUAACACAUGCAAGUCGAACGGCAGCACAGUAAGAGCUUGCUCUUACGGGUGGCGAGUGGCGGACGGGUGAGGAAUACAUCGGAAUCUACUUUUUCGUGGGGGAUAACGUAGGGAAACUUACGCUAAUACCGCAUACGACCUACGGGUGAAAGCAGGGGAUCUUCGGACCUUGCGCGAUUGAAUGAGCCGAUGUCGGAGUAGCUAGUUGGCGGGGUAAAGGCCCACCAAGGCGACGAACCGUAGCUGGUCUGAGAGGAUGAUCAGCCACACUGGAACUGAGACACGGUCCAGACUCCUACGGGAGGCAGCAGUGGGGAAUAUUGGACAAUGGGCGCAAGCCUGAUCCAGCCAUACCGCGUGGGUGAAGAAGGCCUUCGGGUUGUAAAGCCCUUUUGUUGGGAAAGAAAAGCAGCAGGUUAAUACCCCGCUGUUCUGACGGUACCCAAAGAAUAAGCACCGGCUAACUUCGUG
This 492-nucleotide ribosomal RNA is filed under the name uncultured bacterium. RNAcentral describes it as "partial 16S ribosomal RNA". It matches the Rfam family "Bacterial small subunit ribosomal RNA", at positions 29 to 507 of the family's 1533-position model. The record is from RNAcentral.